Long non-coding RNA from Rosa rugosa (rugosa rose), 269 nucleotides. RefSeq lists it as uncharacterized. Lineage: Eukaryota; Viridiplantae; Streptophyta; Magnoliopsida; Rosales; Rosaceae. The transcript has 3 exons. The record is from RefSeq and is a predicted model, not a curated record.
CGCCGCCACCGUCGCCGGAACCCCAAUCUUCACCAAAAUUUUCAGAUUUUCUCCUCUUCAUUACCUCUUCCCAUUUCUCCAACCAAAAUCAUGAAAUUUGGUCAUUUAAUCCUCCAAAAACCCUAGAACCCGAAGCCAAUUUGGGGGAUUUUGUGAUUUCUUCAUUCCAAGUUCAAAUCAAGAGGCUAGGCUACGGGUUUGGCAAGGAUUUGUGGUGAAGAAGGCCAAGGAGGAGGAAUAGGCCGUGGGUUUUGAAGAAGAAAGGGUAA